This 547-nucleotide ribosomal RNA is filed under the name uncultured Glomus. Its description in RNAcentral is "SSU rRNA". It matches the Rfam family "Eukaryotic small subunit ribosomal RNA", at positions 548 to 1098 of the family's 1831-position model. Lineage: Eukaryota; Fungi; Glomeromycota; Glomeromycetes; Glomerales; Glomeraceae. The record is from RNAcentral.
UUGGAGGGCAAGUCUGGUGCCAGCAGCCGCGGUAAUUCCAGCUCCAAUAGCGUAUAUUAAAGUUGCUGCAGUUAAAAAGCUCGUAGUUGAAUUUCGGGACCAAUAUGUCGGUCGUGCCUCGGUACGUACUGGCAUCGUUGGUUCUCCCUUCUGACGAACCAUGAUGUCAUUUAUUUGGUGUCGUGGGGAAUCAGGACUGUUACUUUGAAAAAAUUAGAGUGUUUAAAGCAGGCUCACGCUUGAAUACAUUAGCAUGGAAUAAUGAAAUAGGACGUUUGAUUCUAUUUUGUUGGUUUCUAGGAUCGACGUAAUGAUUAAUAGGGAUAGUUGGGGGCAUUAGUAUUCAAUUGUCAGAGGUGAAAUUCUUGGAUUUAUUGAAGACUAACUACUGCGAAAGCAUUUGCCAAGGAUGUUUUCAUUAAUCAAGAACGAAAGUUAGGGGAUCGAAGACGAUCAGAUACCGUCGUAGUCUUAACCAUAAACUAUGCCGACUAGGGAUCGGAUGAUGUUAAUUUUUUAAUGACUCAUUCGGCACCUUACGGGAAAC